This 1481-nucleotide long non-coding RNA is filed under the name Olea europaea subsp. europaea. Lineage: Eukaryota; Viridiplantae; Streptophyta; Magnoliopsida; Lamiales; Oleaceae. The record is from RNAcentral.
UCGGAACAAAAAUCUAAGUGACAGGAGUAGACGUUUAAAUGACAAGGAAUCAUACCAAACGUUUACAAAUAUCAGAGCUAUUUUACAACUGAAAUAAUUAUUAUAAUGAAAAGAAAAUUACAACUCAAACUUGAACUAAUAUUUACAAUGUGCGGUCGAAAUUGGGCAAACUGAGGUUACGAUUGUAUCAAAGGACUAAGUAAAGCUGCGGUCAUUGACAUUCUCCCCCAUUUGUUUUGGCGACGUCCUCGUUGCUGCGGUCAUGAUAUGCUUCAAUUAACGGUUUGAAGGCUCCAAGAUCCUUUUCUCUUUUCCAAGUAUUCUCCUCGCUGCUGAAUCCAAUACAUUUGACCAAGUACUCUUGAUGAUCUUUUCUAGAAGCUCGAGUGAUUCGAUGGUCAAGAAUAGCUUCAGCAACCUUCUUUCCAGCUUUCUUCAGUUCAAACACAGGUCGCUUUGGCUCAUUUCUAGAUGCGUCCUCCUUAUCUGCAAAGUAUGGCUUCAGCAUACUAACAUGAAGAACUUUGUGAAUUUUACACCAUGAAGGGAGUUCAACUCUGUAAGCGACUCUUCCAAUUAUCUUCAAGAUGGGUAAUGGUCCAAUAUAUUUUGGCACCAAUCUUGAGUCCUUCCUUCUUAUCGGUUUACAAACAUUUCUGGUGGGAAGUUUAACUAUUACCAGAUCUCCAACAUUGAAUUUAAGGAAACGACGCUUUAGAUCUGCAAACUUCUUAUGCCGUUUUUGAGCUUUUUCGAGAUAACUCCAAGCAAUUUCAAUAUUUCGUUUACACUCUUGAGAAAAAAUUUCCACUUGAGGAGACUUGGUACUUUGUUCGAUGUCCACUGUAUGAGGGAGUAGCGGUUACUGGCCAGUAACAAUUUUAAAAGGACUCUUAUUGGUGGAAGAGCUCUUUUGGGCAUUGAAGCAAAUUUGAGCAACAUUCUAAUUUUUCUGCGAAGUAGAGAUAAAGUGUCGAAGACAUUCUUCUAGUAUAGAAUUGAAGAGCUCCGUCUGUCCAUCAGAUUGUAGGUGAAAACUAGAACUCAUGCUCAAAGUUGAACCAAGAAGUUUGAACAACUCAGUCCAAAAUAUGCCAGUGAAAUGAGGAUCUCGAUCACUGACGAUGUCCUUAGAAAGUCCCCAGUAUUUGACAAUAUGUUUGAAGAAGAGUUGAGUUGUCUCUUCCGCUGAUACAUACUUAGAUGCUGAGAUGAAAGUUGCGUACUUUUAUAGACGGUCCACCACGACGAUGAUAGUAUCAAAAUCCUCAACUUUUGGCAACCCAAUAAUGUAGUCCAUCAAUACACUUUCGAAUGGUCGAGUUGGAACGAAAAGGGGCUCCAACAAGCCUGCCUUUUUCUGAUGAUCUGCCUUAUCUUGCUGACAAAUAAAACAGAUUUUUACAUAAGUUGUAAUGUCGUCCCGUUUGAGACAAUUAGUAUGCACAUUGCAGUAGUGCAGAAGUGCAUUUCUCUUCCGG